GGAAGGUGAGAGUGAGAGAGAGGAAGGUGAGAGUGAGAGAGGAAAGUGAGAGUGAGAGAGAGGAAGGUGAGAGAGUGAGAGAGGAAGGUGAGAGUGAGAGGAAGGUGAGUCCAGAUCCGGUUCUGACCAACAACACGAACACGCUGUGAUGAAGCGAGCUGAGCUUAGCUGCAGACUGACACACAGCUCACACCUGUUUUUACAGGUUCUGGUGGUUCAGUUCGGCCUGCAGGAGUCCAGAACAGGAGAUCCUGAUGACAUCACAGGUGAA
Molecule: long non-coding RNA, 271 nt
Organism: Larimichthys crocea (large yellow croaker)
Lineage: Eukaryota; Metazoa; Chordata; Actinopteri; Sciaenidae
Exons: 2
Source: RefSeq, a predicted model, not a curated record